GGGAAUGCAUAGUAGAUUUGUCUGCUCAUGAGUUUUAAUGGCUGCAGUAAAUUGACUGUGUGAAAGUAGCAUAAUAAUUAGUUCAUUGAUUGUGAACUGGUAUGAAUGGAUUGAUGAGGCAUUGAUUGUCUCGGCGUUAGGGGUGUUUAAUUUUACGAUUAAGUUAAAAGGCUUAAGUGAUUGAAAGGGACGAGAAGACCCUAUAGAAUUUUAUUUUAAGCGGUUUUCGGGGGUUAAUGUAUUUUUAUCGGAUGUUGUUUAAGAUUUUGUUGGGGUGAUGGAUAGGUUUAAAUAAUCUUUUCUUGUGUUAACAUUAAUUAGUGGGUUUAUUUUGAUUUUGUUUUGUAAUUAGAAGAUUAAGUUACCUUAGGGAUAACAGCGUUAUUUAUAUGGAGAGUUCUAAUCAAUAUAUAAGUUUGCGACCUCGAUGUUGAAUUAAGGUUGAUUUUUGUGGAAGGGUAUGAAAUAUUGGGUCUGUUCGACCU
Molecule: ribosomal RNA, 485 nt
Filed under: Haploembia solieri
Lineage: Eukaryota; Metazoa; Arthropoda; Insecta; Embioptera; Oligotomidae
Description: partial 16S ribosomal RNA
Rfam family: Archaeal large subunit ribosomal RNA
Source: RNAcentral